ACAACCGAGAAGCGUCUGCAGCCAAAAAGUAAAACAACAACAGCAACAACAACAGUCAAAACCAGUUAAAAGUGACAGGCAAACCAAUUAAAACAAUUUUAACAGCACCGUUACAAAAACGAAAAGAAAAAAAAACAAACAAAAAACAAACAAAUCAAUAAAAUACACAAAAAACAUCAAUCUAUCUGCAUAAGUAAAUUGUAAAGCGAUUUAACUCGAUUGGAAAACCAUUUAAAGUGCACACCAGAAAUUAGGAUAAAGCGGAUCAGCCGAGCAAAGUACAAGAUAAAAGGAGCACAACAAGAGACAGACUGAAAAACAGAGAGCGAGAGAGAGAGAGAUCCUAUAAAAAUGGUUAACUGAGUCGCCAACAUAGCCAACUAUCAGAAACAGAACCUGUUGGGCAGCCAUCACCAUCUGCUCCACAUCGCCGAACCGAAUCAACUGCAACUGCUGCCCGCAGUGACUACGACGACGACGACGCCGACUUCA
Drosophila grimshawi is the source of this 492-nucleotide long non-coding RNA. RefSeq lists it as uncharacterized. Lineage: Eukaryota; Metazoa; Arthropoda; Insecta; Diptera; Drosophilidae. The transcript has 3 exons. The record is from RefSeq and is a predicted model, not a curated record.